Molecule: ribosomal RNA, 602 nt
Filed under: Candida tropicalis
Lineage: Eukaryota; Fungi; Ascomycota; Pichiomycetes; Serinales; Debaryomycetaceae
Description: partial large subunit ribosomal RNA
Rfam family: Eukaryotic large subunit ribosomal RNA
Source: RNAcentral
CAAAGGGAAUGCCUUAGUAGCGGCGAGUGAAGCGGCAAAAGCUCAAAUUUGAAAUCUGGCUCUUUCAGAGUCCGAGUUGUAAUUUGAAGAAGGUAUCUUUGGGUCUGGCUCUUGUCUAUGUUUCUUGGAACAGAACGUCACAGAGGGUGAGAAUCCCGUGCGAUGAGAUGAUCCAGGCCUAUGUAAAGUUCCUUCGAAGAGUCGAGUUGUUUGGGAAUGCAGCUCUAAGUGGGUGGUAAAUUCCAUCUAAAGCUAAAUAUUGGCGAGAGACCGAUAGCGAACAAGUACAGUGAUGGAAAGAUGAAAAGAACUUUGAAAAGAGAGUGAAAAAGUACGUGAAAUUGUUGAAAGGGAAGGGCUUGAGAUCAGACUUGGUAUUUUGUAUGUUACUUCUUCGGGGGUGGCCUCUACAGUUUAUCGGGCCAGCAUCAGUUUGGGCGGUAGGAGAAUUGCGUUGGAAUGUGGCACGGCUUCGGUUGUGUGUUAUAGCCUUCGUCGAUACUGCCAGCCUAGACUGAGGACUGCGGUUUAUACCUAGGAUGUUGGCAUAAUGAUCUUAAGUCGCCCGUCUUGAAACACGGACCAUCUUGGAUCAUNNNCCG